Molecule: ribosomal RNA, 253 nt
Filed under: uncultured bacterium
Lineage: Bacteria
Description: partial 16S ribosomal RNA
Rfam family: Bacterial small subunit ribosomal RNA
Source: RNAcentral
UACGUAGGGUGCAAGCGUUAAUCGGAAUUACUGGGCGUAAAGCGUGCGCAGGCGGUUUUGUAAGUCUGUCGUGAAAUCCCCGGGCUCAACCUGGGAAUUGCGAUGGAGACUGCAAGGCUAGAAUCUGGCAGAGGGGGGUAGAAUUCCACGUGUAGCAGUGAAAUGCGUAGAGAUGUGGAGGAACACCGAUGGCGAAGGCAGCCCCCUGGGCUGACACUGACGCUCAGGCACGAAAACGUGGGGAGCAAACAGG